RNAcentral lists this unclassified non-coding RNA (1572 nucleotides) under Hevea brasiliensis (rubber tree). The record is from RNAcentral. Lineage: Eukaryota; Viridiplantae; Streptophyta; Magnoliopsida; Malpighiales; Euphorbiaceae.
CUUUGCAUGAACAAGACUAAACAAAAGGAGAGAAAAAAAAUGGAUACAAUACAGCACCCACAUCCACCCCUGUUCAACUUUAUCUAUGGCACAUAAUUUCCUUCUGGGGAUUUAAAUAAUGUAGGAUACAACUGAUGACUAAGCCGGGAGCCCAAAACUUCUACAGCAAGCAAAACUUGUUGGAAAAUAAUAUGACUUCACAAAUACCUGCAAGGAAGGCAUCAGGAGAACUGAACCACAAAAAUUGUUCUACGGAAACAGAGGCAGGCAACCGAGUCCCAAGUUCUCUGGAAUUCCCAUCAUUAAGUUAAGAUUUUGUAAGGCUUGUCCAGAAGCUCCCUUAACAAGAUUAUCAAUAACAGAUAUUAUUAUUGCUCUCCCAGGAAUCCGGUCUGGAAAUACAUUCAUGAGGCAAUAAUUUGAUCCUCUAACAUGUCGAGUAUGGGGAACUUCUUUGUUCUUCAGCAACACCACAAAUUCUUCAUGCUCAUAGUAGUUACCAAGGUGAUCUUUCAAAUCCUGAGUUGUCAUGCCUGGAGCCAUUUCCACAUAAAUAGUCGAUUGCAUACCACGGCUCAUUGGCAUAAGAUGUGGAGUGAAGCUAACAGUAACUUUUGAAUUUGCAGCUUCUGAUAAUCCUUGUUCAAUCUCUGGCACAUGCCGAUGUCUGGUUAUACCAUAAGAAUGUAUUCCUUCGGCUAUUUCAGUGUACAAAUUUGCUUCUUUUGCACCACGACCUGCUCCACUAACACCAGAUUUUGAGUCAAUAAUUAUGUUUCUUACUUCAAUGAAGUUGGACUUUAUCAAGGGAAUAAGAGGAAGUUGAACAGAUGUAGGAUAACAGCCAGGAUUUGCAACUAGACGUGCACUUUGAAUUUCUCUCCUUGAAAUCUCAGUCAAGCCAUAGACUGCUUCUUUCUGCAAAGCUGUUGCUUUGUGAGGCUGGCCAUACCAUUCCUCAUACUCAGCUAUAUCUUGCAAUCUGAAGUCCGCAGAUAGAUCAACAACUUUUAGAUUUGUUGGAAGACUUUUGAUAAUUUCCUGAGUUGUACCAUGUGGUAAACAACAAAAAACAGCAUCCACAGCAGAGAAAUCUGCAUCUUUAACAGCGACUAGAUUUGGUAGAUCUUGUGUGACCAGGUGAGGGAAAACAGAUUCGAUUGAUUGGCCAGCUUUCCUGUCAGCCGUCAUCAAAGUAAUCUGAAAAUAUGGAUGAUUUCGCAGGAGUCUAAUAAUCUCUGAACCAGUGUAGCCACUAGCACCUAGCACACCAAUACGCAAUUUGUCCAAUUUGUUAGCUUUACCAUCUGCAAACUGCAAGCUUUGCGCUGGUGAUGAUGACGCCAUGGAAGUAACUCUAAUUCUGAGCUUACCAGCCUUAGAAACCUUCAGUUCGUCUUGAUACUUCCAAAGGCAACCUCCAUUGAAGAGGUUAGAAUUGAGCGCAGCCAAAGAAGCCAUUGGAGAUGCAGAGUUUGAAGUAUGAAUUUUGCGAAAUGAGAAAGAGAAGAGUAAAGGGUAUUUCAGUUUCAAUGUGAAGAACAGAGCAGAAUGAUCCGAUGGAAUAUAUGG